Molecule: non-coding RNA, 28 nt
Filed under: Mus musculus (house mouse)
Lineage: Eukaryota; Metazoa; Chordata; Mammalia; Rodentia; Muridae
Source: RNAcentral
UGCUUUAUUGUUGUUGUUUUUUUCCUCU